AACGAACGCUGGCGGCAGGCUUAACACAUGCAAGUCGAACGAGAAGCCUGGCUUCGGUCAGGUGGAAAGUGGCAGACGGGUGAGUAACGCGUGGGAACGUGCCCUUUGGUUCGGAACAACUCCGGGAAACUGGAGCUAAUACCGGAUGUGCCCUUCGGGGGAAAGAUUUAUCGCCAAGGGAUCGGCCCGCGUCGGAUUAGCUUGUUGGUGGGGUAACGGCCUACCAAGGCUAUGAUCCGUAGCUGGUCUGAGAGGAUGAUCAGCCACACUGGUACUGAGAUACGGACCAGACUCCUACGGGAGGCAGCAGUAGGGAAUAUUGGGCAAUGGGUGAGAGCCUGACCCAGCCAUGCCGCGUGCAGGAAGAAGGCGUUCUGCGUUGUAAACUGCUUUUGAUCGGGAAGAAAGGGUUCCUGCGGGGACCGUUGACUGUACCGAUAGAAUAAGCACCGGCUAACUCCGUGCCAGCAGCCGCGGUAAUACGGAGGGUGCAAGCGUUGUCCGGAUUUAUUGGGUUUAAAGGGUGCGUAGGCGGAUUGAUAAGUCAGUGGUGAAAGGCAGCGGCUCAACCGUUGAGUUGCCAUUGAUACUGUGAGUCUUGAGUGCACUAGAGGCAAGUGGAAUUUAUGGUGUAGCGGUGAAAUGCAUAGAUACCAUAAAGAACACCAUAGCGAAGGCGC
This 680-nucleotide ribosomal RNA is filed under the name uncultured Caulobacter sp. Its description in RNAcentral is "bacterial SSU rRNA". It matches the Rfam family "Bacterial small subunit ribosomal RNA", at positions 28 to 725 of the family's 1533-position model. Lineage: Bacteria; Pseudomonadati; Pseudomonadota; Alphaproteobacteria; Caulobacterales; Caulobacteraceae. The record is from RNAcentral.